GGACUACCCGGGUUUCUAAUCCCGUUUGCUCCCCUGGCUUUCGCGCCUCAGCGUCAGAAGGGGUCCAGCACGCCGCUUUCGCCACCGGCGUUCCUUCCGAUAUCUACGCAUUUCACCGCUCCACCGGAAGUUCCGCAUGCCCCUACCCCCCUCGAGGCCGCCAGUAUCAGAAGCCGUUCCCCGGUUGAGCCGGGGGAUUUCACCCCUGACUUGGCGGCCCGCCUACGCGCCCUUUAAGCCCAGUGAUUCCGAACAACGUUCGCACGGUUCGUCUUACCGCGGCUGCUGGCAC
RNAcentral lists this ribosomal RNA (292 nucleotides) under uncultured Planctomycetota bacterium. Its description in RNAcentral is "uncultured planctomycete partial 16S ribosomal RNA". Lineage: Bacteria; Pseudomonadati; Planctomycetota. The record is from RNAcentral.